Callorhinchus milii (elephant shark) is the source of this 77-nucleotide non-coding RNA. Lineage: Eukaryota; Metazoa; Chordata; Chondrichthyes; Chimaeriformes; Callorhinchidae. The record is from the annotation of a RefSeq genome assembly.
UGUGGAGACCUGUAGCUCAGUGGUUAGAGCACUCGCCUCACAAGCGAGAGACCCGGGUUCGAAUCCCGGCAGGACAA